CCUACGGGUGGCAGCAGUGAGGAAUAUUGGGCAAUGGACGAGAGCCUGAAGCAGCAAAGUAGCGUGAAGGAUGACUGCCCUAUGGGUUGUAAACUUCUUUUAUAGGGGGAUAAAAUGUGCCACGUGUGGGAUUUUGUAUGUACCAUAUGAAUAAAGCUGGGCUAACUCCUUGCCAGCAGCCGGGGUAAUACGGAGGAUCCGAGCGUUAUCCGGUUUUAUUGGGUUUAAAGGGAGCGUAGGUGGAUUGUUAAGUCAGUUGUGAAAGUUUGCGGCUCAACCGUAAAAUUGCAGUGGAUACUGGCGGUGUUGAGUGCAGUAGAGGUGGGCGGAAUUCGUGGUGUAGCGGUGAAAUGCUUAGAUAUCACGAAGAACUCCGAUUGCGAAGGCAGUUCACUGGACUGUAACUGACACUGAGGCUCGAAAGUGUGGGUAUCAAACAGGAUUAGAUACCCGUGUAGUC
Molecule: ribosomal RNA, 460 nt
Filed under: uncultured bacterium
Lineage: Bacteria
Description: partial 16S ribosomal RNA
Rfam family: Bacterial small subunit ribosomal RNA
Source: RNAcentral